This 196-nucleotide unclassified non-coding RNA is filed under the name uncultured fungus. Its description in RNAcentral is "partial 18S ribosomal RNA". It matches the Rfam family "Eukaryotic small subunit ribosomal RNA", at positions 822 to 1016 of the family's 1831-position model. The record is from RNAcentral. Lineage: Eukaryota; Fungi.
GGAAAAAAGAAAUAGGACGUUUGAUCCUUUUUUGUUGGUUUCUAGGAUYGACGUAAUGAUUAAUAGGGAUAGUGGGGGGCAUUAGUAUUCAAUUGUCAGAGGUGAAAUUCUUGGAUUUAUUGAAGACUAACUACUGCGAAAGCAUUUGCCAAGGAUGUUUUCAUUAAUCAAGAACGAAAGUUAGGGGAUCGAAGAC